UAAGGGGAUCUUAAAUUGACUUGGUGUUGUCAGCACCCCGCUCUCUCAAGUGAGCUAACUAGCCAUCCCUAUAUGGGAUCCGAACCCGCGGCCUUGGUGUUAUCAGCACCGCACUCUGCCAGGAUAGGUUUCUAGGAUGUAACAGAAGGACCUAAGGAUUCCCGAUUCCUGCCCUGCCAGUCACAAUGCGAAACAAAAUAUGGCUUUAUUAUUAACCAAACAGCCCUCAGUGAUGCAGUGAAGACCUCUCUGGUGAAGCUAUCCCGGUUCAGUCUGGAGAGACCCUGCCUCAACCCAUCAGUCAUACAGCAGAGACCAGGGACGAGUCCCUGCUAAUGCAGUAACUGGCUCCCCCUUAACUCUUAUGACCCAUCUGAGGUCUUGGGCUCUGACUACUUAGGACAACAUUACCACUUCUUGGGGAAGGUCUUGGUCUGCAUGAUCACAAGAGGGCUGCAGCAGUUCCUGACGUCACAUCUACACACGUCAACAUCCAGAGGAAGAGAAAAGACCAGGUCUCCUUCUGAAAGUCGGAGAGAACUUCUCCAGAAGCUCCCCGUGGGCCACUGCUCUUAUCUCAUUGGUCAGAAUGAGAUCGCGUGCCCACUACUAAACCAGUCAUGGCAAGGGAAAUGAGACAGAGGCCCCAUUGGGGCCUCUUGUAGUCAUUCCUGCACCUUGAGAGGCACGGAAGAAAUAGAAUAUGUGACCAGACUGGAGGUGGCCAUGCCAAAGGAUCACUGGACACUACAGACACUACAGACACCUCCUGGAUCUAGACACUGUUCUCAGGAAAAAGGGAGGUCCCCACAUAACAGAGAUUCAGUUUCCAUAUGACUCCUCACACACACCCCCAUUGGAAUG
Long non-coding RNA from Cynocephalus volans (Philippine flying lemur), 864 nucleotides. RefSeq lists it as uncharacterized. Lineage: Eukaryota; Metazoa; Chordata; Mammalia; Dermoptera; Cynocephalidae. The record is from RefSeq and is a predicted model, not a curated record. The transcript is spliced from 3 exons.